AUAUAAGAAAUGAUAAAUCAUAUAUGAUUUCGGCUCAUAUUUAGGUGACAACACCCUUAUAUU
This 63-nucleotide transfer RNA is filed under the name Euprymna brenneri. RNAcentral's name for it is "tRNA-Arg". Lineage: Eukaryota; Metazoa; Mollusca; Cephalopoda; Sepiida; Sepiolidae. The record is from RNAcentral.